UGAAUCAGCAUGUGUGUUAGUGGAAGCGUCUGGAAAGGCGCGCGAUACAGGGUGACAGCCCCGUACACAAAAGCGUAUGUGCUGUGAGCUCGAUGAGUAGGGCGGGACACGUGGUAUCCUGUCUGAAUAUGGGGGGACCAUCCUCCAAGGCUAAAUACUCCUGACUGACCGAUAGUGAACCAGUACCGUGAGGGAAAGGCGAAAAGAACCCCGGCGAGGGGAGUGAAAAAGAACCUGAAACCGUGUACGUACAAGCAGUGGGAGCCCCACCACUAAGCCAGUGGUGAACUCCACAUACGCAUCCUUUGCUGAGGAUACGGUUAACGGAGCGAAAGCGACGUUCAACCGCAAAAGAAGCAGAGGGGGCUUAGUGGUGGGGUGACUGCGUACCUUUUGUAUAAUGGGUCAGCGACUUAUAUUCUGUAGCAAGGUUAACCGAAUAGGGGAGCCGGAGGGAAACCGAGUCUUAAC
This 471-nucleotide ribosomal RNA is filed under the name Salmonella enterica. RNAcentral describes it as "partial 23S ribosomal RNA". It matches the Rfam family "Bacterial large subunit ribosomal RNA", at positions 313 to 688 of the family's 2925-position model. The record is from RNAcentral. Lineage: Bacteria; Pseudomonadati; Pseudomonadota; Gammaproteobacteria; Enterobacterales; Enterobacteriaceae.